GCGCUUCUAGCUCAAUUGGUAGAGCAAUUGAUUUGUAAUCACUAGGUUGCGAGUUCGAUCCUCGCGGGGCGCUCCA
RNAcentral lists this transfer RNA (76 nucleotides) under Salipiger sp. PrR003. Its description in RNAcentral is "Yangia sp. PrR003 tRNA-Thr". It matches the Rfam family "tRNA". Rfam says of the family: Transfer RNA (tRNA) molecules are approximately 80 nucleotides in length. Their secondary structure includes four short double-helical elements and three loops (D, anti-codon, and T loops). Further hydrogen bonds mediate the characteristic L-shaped molecular structure. tRNAs have two regions of fundamental functional importance: the anti-codon, which is responsible for specific mRNA codon recognition, and the 3' end, to which the tRNAs corresponding amino acid is attached (by aminoacyl-tRNA synthetases). tRNAs cope with the degeneracy of the genetic code in two manners: having more than one tRNA (with a specific anti-codon) for a particular amino acid; and 'wobble' base-pairing, i.e. permitting non-standard base-pairing at the 3rd anti-codon position. The record is from RNAcentral. Lineage: Bacteria; Pseudomonadati; Pseudomonadota; Alphaproteobacteria; Rhodobacterales; Roseobacteraceae.